CCCCUCUCAGGAUUGAAACUGGAGAGUUUCCAGUACUCUUCCAGUCUCAGCUGUGGGAGGGAGAGUAGGCAGAGGCCGACCCAUUCCAUUCCUAGCUCGAACAGUGGCUAGCAAGUGACAGGCAAUCUGCUACAAGU
This is a small nucleolar RNA of Tachyglossus aculeatus (Australian echidna), 137 nucleotides long. The record is from RefSeq and is a predicted model, not a curated record. NCBI's taxonomy places the organism in Eukaryota, Metazoa, Chordata, Mammalia, Monotremata, Tachyglossidae.